RNAcentral lists this ribosomal RNA (224 nucleotides) under Enterococcus faecalis. RNAcentral's name for it is "partial 16S ribosomal RNA". It matches the Rfam family "Bacterial small subunit ribosomal RNA", at positions 1 to 207 of the family's 1533-position model. Lineage: Bacteria; Bacillati; Bacillota; Bacilli; Lactobacillales; Enterococcaceae. The record is from RNAcentral.
UUAUUAUGAGAGUUUGAUCCUGGCUCAGGACGAACGCUGGCGGCGUGCCUAAUACAUGCAAGUCGAACGCUUCUUUCCUCCCGAGUGCUUGCACUCAAUUGGAAAGAGGAGUGGCGGACGGGUGAGUAACACGUGGGUAACCUACCCAUCAGAGGGGGAUAACACUUGGAAACAGGUGCUAAUACCGCAUAACAGUUUAUGCCGCAUGGCAUAAGAGUGAAAGG